AUGUGGAUAGCUCAGUUGGUUAGUGUGUGGUGUUGAUAACGCCAUGGUUGCAGGUUUGAUCCCCAUAAGGGACAGCUGCAUA
This 82-nucleotide transfer RNA is filed under the name Podarcis lilfordi (Lilford's wall lizard). Its description in RNAcentral is "tRNA.Ile". The record is from RNAcentral. Lineage: Eukaryota; Metazoa; Chordata; Lepidosauria; Squamata; Lacertidae.